AACCCGGUCCUCCGCGUGACGGUAUCAUCCGAACCUCCCCAGGGCAGGAAUGCAGCAAGGAUAAGGGUGCGCUGCCGGGUGCGCGGAGGAUCCUCGUAUUCC
RNAcentral lists this signal recognition particle RNA (102 nucleotides) under Schaalia georgiae F0490. RNAcentral describes it as "Actinomyces georgiae F0490 Bacterial signal recognition particle RNA". It matches the Rfam family "Bacterial small signal recognition particle RNA". From Rfam's summary of the family: The signal recognition particle (SRP) is a universally conserved ribonucleoprotein involved in the co-translational targeting of proteins to membranes. Archaeal SRP consists of a 7S RNA and homologues of the eukaryotic SRP19 and SRP54 proteins. In most bacteria, the SRP consists of a 4.5S RNA and the Ffh protein (a homologue of the eukaryotic SRP54 protein). Lineage: Bacteria; Bacillati; Actinomycetota; Actinomycetes; Actinomycetales; Actinomycetaceae. The record is from RNAcentral.